RNAcentral lists this ribosomal RNA (497 nucleotides) under uncultured bacterium. RNAcentral describes it as "partial 16S ribosomal RNA". It matches the Rfam family "Bacterial small subunit ribosomal RNA", at positions 28 to 507 of the family's 1533-position model. The record is from RNAcentral.
GAUGAACGCUGGCGGCGUGCCUAAUACAUGCAAGUCGAGCGAACGGACGAGAAGCUUGCUUCUCUGAUGUUAGCGGCGGACGGGUGAGUAACACGUGGAUAACCUACCUAUAAGACCGGGAUAACUUCGGGAAACCGUAGCUAAUACCGGAUAAUAUUUUGAACCGCAUGGUUCAAAAGUGAAAGACGGUCUUGCUGUCACUUAUAGAUGGAUCCGCGCUGCAUUAGCUAGUUGGUAAGGUAACGGCUUACCAAGGAAACGAUGCAUAGCCGACCUGAGAGGGUGAUCGGCCACACUGGAACUGAGACACGGUCCAGACUCCUACGGGAGGCAGCAGUAGGGAAUCUUCCGCAAUGGGCGAAAGCCUGACGGAGCAACGCCGCGUGAGUGAUGAAGGUCUUCGGAUCGUAAAACUCUGUUAUUAGGGAAGAACAUAUGUGUAAGUAACUGUGCACAUCUUGACGGUACCUAAUCAGAAAGCCACGGCUAACUACGUG